RNAcentral lists this long non-coding RNA (345 nucleotides) under Apteryx owenii (little spotted kiwi). RNAcentral's name for it is "lncRNA (ENSAOWG00000010580.1)". The record is from RNAcentral. Lineage: Eukaryota; Metazoa; Chordata; Aves; Apterygiformes; Apterygidae.
GGGCCCCCUCGCUCCGGGGGUGGGCAGGAGGGAGCGGGGUGCCGGCCGCCCCGGGCAUYCCCCUGCUCCCCUCACCGCGGCUGCCCCGCUCCCCUCUGUGGGGCUUCGCCUCACCCUCGCGAACAUGCUUGAAACGGAAUAACCUUAAUUACGUGCAGCUGCUUUGGCUUAACUGUUCACUGCGAUGUUAAAUCGUUGCUUAUUUUAAAAGCUUUUUUUUUUUUAAUUAGUCCCGUUUUGACUGGUUUCCCUUUUUGGUUAACUUCCCAUGUUUCUGCUUUUCACGAAACAGAAAGAGGCUUUUCCCACCUUGUGGCCUCCUGCCUGCCUGUGAAGAGGAGCUAA